This 492-nucleotide ribosomal RNA is filed under the name uncultured bacterium. RNAcentral's name for it is "partial 16S ribosomal RNA". It matches the Rfam family "Bacterial small subunit ribosomal RNA", at positions 29 to 507 of the family's 1533-position model. The record is from RNAcentral.
AGUGAACGCUGGCGGUAGGCCUAACACAUGCAAGUCGAACGGCAGCACAGUAAGAGCUUGCUCUUACGGGUGGCGAGUGGCGGACGGGUGAGGAAUACAUCGGAAUCUACUUUUUCGUGGGGGAUAACGUAGGGAAACUUACGCUAAUACCGCAUACGACCUACGGGUGAAAGCAGGGGAUCUUCGGACCUUGCGCGAUUGAAUGAGCCGAUGUCGGAUUAGCUAGUUGGCGGGGUAAAGGCCCACCAAGGCGACGAUCCGUAGCUGGUCUGAGAGGAUGAUCCGCCACACUGGAACUGAGACACGGUCCAGACUCCUACGGGAGGCAGCAGUGGGGAAUAUUGGACAAUGGGCGCAAGCCUGAUCCAGCCAUACCGCGUGGGUGAAGAAGGUCUUCGGGUUGUAAAGCUCUUUUGUUGGGAAAGAACAGAAGUAGGUUAAUACCCCGACGUUUUGACGGUACCCAAAGAAUAAGCCCCGGCUAACUACGUG